Molecule: long non-coding RNA, 485 nt
Organism: Ipomoea nil (Japanese morning glory)
Lineage: Eukaryota; Viridiplantae; Streptophyta; Magnoliopsida; Solanales; Convolvulaceae
Exons: 4
Source: RefSeq, a predicted model, not a curated record
UUCUUCAAACUGUCGCGACUCAGACUUCAUACAUAGAGACUUCGUCGACUACGGAGGGACUUCGCCGACUGUAGAGAGCCGUCGCCGACGCCGCGUAUCGCCAUCUCCAGGCCGCCGUCGGUAAUUGCUCCAGGCCGCCGUCGGUAAUUGCUCCAGGCCACCGUCGCGAGUCUAGACCCUAGAGUCCAGAGUCCGCCGUGGCUCCAGGCCGCCGUCGCGAGUCCAGGCCUCCAGGCCGUUGUCGCGAGUCCAGAUAGCCGUCGAGCUAUGUAUGUUUGGGGUGCUAUUAGGAGAAGGAGCUGAGAAGAAGGCUAGGAUUAGGGGGAAUCAUACUCUAGAAGUGCUGUGAAAGAAGGUUCAGAGCUUUGAUUUCUUUGAGAGCGCGCAAUAGUUGUGAUCGUCUCUAUGUUCUUCAUGGACACAGUCUUGUUUGUCAUAUGAAGAGUUCCAACAAGUUGAUUAUGAAAAAGCGGUUAUUGAUCUGG